CUACCAUGCAGUCGAACGAAGCCAUUAAUUUCGGUUAAGGGCUUAGUGGCGGACGGGUGAGUAACGCGUGAGGAACCUGCCUUACAGAGGGGGAUAAUGUCUGGAAACGGACACUAAUACCGCAUGAUAUUCCAGCAUCACAUGAUGCAGGGAUCAAAGGAGCAAUCCGCUGUAAGAUGGACUCGCGUCCGAUUAGCUAGAUGGUGAGAUAAAAGCCCACCAUGGCGACGAUCGGUAGCCGGACUGAGAGGUUGAACGGCCACAUUGGGACUGAGACACGGCCCAGACUCCUACGGGAGGCAGCAGUGGGGGAUAUUGCACAAUGGAGGAAACUCUGAUGCAGCAACGCCGCGUGAAGGAAGACGGUCUUCGGAUUGUAAACUUUUGUACUCAGGGACGAUAAUGACGGUACCUGAGCAGCAAGCUCCGGCUAACUACGUGCCAGCAGCCGCGGUAAUACGUAGGGAGCGAGCGUUGUCCGGAUUUACUGGGUGUAAAGGGUGCGUAGGCGGCAGGACAAGUCAGCUGUGAAAACUAUGGGCUUAACCCAUAGCCUGCAGUUGAAACUGUUCUGCUUGAGUGAAGUAGAGGUAGGUGGAAUUCCCGGUGUAGCGGUGAAAUGCGUAGAGAUCGGGAGGAACACCAGUGGCGAAGGCGGCCUACUGGGCUUUAACUGACGCUGAGGCACGAAAGCAUGGGUAGCAAACAGGAUUAGAUACCCUGGUAGUCCAUGCUGUAAA
This 740-nucleotide ribosomal RNA is filed under the name uncultured bacterium. Its description in RNAcentral is "bacterial SSU rRNA". It matches the Rfam family "Bacterial small subunit ribosomal RNA", at positions 49 to 806 of the family's 1533-position model. The record is from RNAcentral.